This 73-nucleotide transfer RNA is filed under the name Camelus bactrianus (Bactrian camel). It matches the Rfam family "tRNA". From Rfam's summary of the family: Transfer RNA (tRNA) molecules are approximately 80 nucleotides in length. RNAcentral also lists the same sequence under 3 other names. Lineage: Eukaryota; Metazoa; Chordata; Mammalia; Artiodactyla; Camelidae. The record is from Rfam by way of RNAcentral.
GAGGGCAUAGCUCAAGUGGUAUAGCGCAUGCUCAGCAUGCAUGAGGUCCUGGGUUCAGUUCCCUGUACCUCCG